GACGAACGCUGGCGGCGUGCUUAACACAUGCAAGUCGAGCGGUAAGGCCCUUUCGGGGGUACACGAGCGGCGAACGGGUGAGUAACACGUGGGUGACCUGCCCUUAGCUCUGGGAUAAGCCUGGGAAACUGGGUCUAAUACCGGAUAUGACUCCAUGACGCAUGUUGUGGGGUGGAAAGCCUUGUGCGGCUAGGGGAUGGGCCCGCGGCCUAUCAGCUUGUUGGUGGGGUGAUGGCCUACCAAGGCGACGACGGGUAGCCGGCCUGAGAGGGCGACCGGCCACACUGGGACUGAGACACGGCCCAGACUCCUACGGGAGGCAGCAGUGGGGAAUCUUGCGCAAUGGGCGAAAGCCUGACGCAGCGACGCCGCGUGAGGGAUGACGGCCUGG
This 391-nucleotide ribosomal RNA is filed under the name uncultured bacterium. Its description in RNAcentral is "bacterial SSU rRNA". It matches the Rfam family "Bacterial small subunit ribosomal RNA", at positions 28 to 419 of the family's 1533-position model. The record is from RNAcentral.